AUUUAAAUAAAUACCACAUGAGGUUGAUAUAUUUUUUGCUUAAAUGCGACGUUGGCGUUUAUAUAGUUUUCGCAGUAGGAGACACUCAUGUCGUGGAAGUAAUUUGUUUUUAGAAUCUUUUAAUACAAUGCGAUUUACUAGAAUUUGACAAAAUUUCAAUAAUUGAAACUUGAAUGCUAAGGGUCACUUCUCGGCGGUUUGCGUGUGGCUCGGUAUUUUGAACAAUUUUUGCAAAACUAUGGUAAAUGUUAUUAUGUAGUUUUUUGGCGUAUAAUAUUAUUAGAGACCCUAAUACUAUUUGUUUACAGUUCUGACUGAAUUUUUAAUCAUCAUAGCAUAAUAACACAGCGAAGAAGCUCAUCCCCACACGUAAACCCGUAAGAACUUCUAGGCCCGAUUAAACUUCAGAUAAAUUUUAUCUCUCAGUUAGUUGCUACGGUAGUGCAUAUCUGAUUGGCGUUGCUAUGUUUUAACCGAGGUUUAAAUUUAUUUCUUCGUUAAAUAUGUUUCCAGAAAAUGGACCAAAUGUGAACUUUGGAAUAAACUACAGGAUGCUCAAAAAUUGGCACACCAACUCAGUGGAAAAUGGAAUUAGGAAAGGUCAUACUAUAACAAAAAGUAAUUUGUACUUAAAAAUGUAUUAUACAUAAAAUAAUUAUUCACUAAACAUGCCAUACUCGUGACCACUCAACUUCUCGUGUUGUGUAAUUACUAGAAAACACAAAGCUUUAAAUCUUAUAGAUCACCUUAUAAAAACUGAAAUGAAUAUGAUACUGUAAUGGAAAUAAAACACUCAUGAAUCUAUUUGGAAAAAAUCUUCUAAUACGGCCUGGAACGUCCUCCAUCGCGA
Long non-coding RNA from Tribolium castaneum (red flour beetle), 850 nucleotides. RefSeq lists it as uncharacterized. The transcript is spliced from 2 exons. The record is from RefSeq and is a predicted model, not a curated record. NCBI's taxonomy places the organism in Eukaryota, Metazoa, Arthropoda, Insecta, Coleoptera, Tenebrionidae.